RNAcentral lists this ribosomal RNA (253 nucleotides) under uncultured bacterium. RNAcentral's name for it is "partial 16S ribosomal RNA". It matches the Rfam family "Bacterial small subunit ribosomal RNA", at positions 524 to 776 of the family's 1533-position model. The record is from RNAcentral.
UACAGAGGUGGCAAGCGUUGUUCGGAAUUACUGGGCGUAAAGGGCGCGUAGGCGGCCUUCUAAGUCAGACGUGAAAUCCCCCGGCUUAACCUGGGAACUGCGUCUGAUACUGGGAGGCUUGAGUAUGGGAGAGGGAUGUAGAAUUCCAGGUGUAGCGGUGAAAUGCGUAGAUAUCAGGAAGAACACCAAUGGCGAAGGCAGCUCUCUGGGACGGUACUGACGCUGAGACGCGAAAGCGUGGGGAGCGAACAGG